GAUGAACGCUGGCGGCGUGCCUAAUACAUGCAAGUCGAGCGAACAGACGAGGAGCUUGCUCCUCUGACGUUAGCGGCGGACGGGUGAGUAACACGUGGAUAACCUACCUAUAAGACUGGGAUAACUUCGGGAAACCGGAGCUAAUACCGGAUAAUGUAUUGAACCGCAUGGUUCAAUAGUGAAAGACGGUUUUGCUGUCACUUAUAGAUGGAUCCGCGCCGCAUUAGCUAGUUGGUAAGGUAACGGCUUACCAAGGCGACGAUGCGUAGCCGACCUGAGAGGGUGAUCGGCCACACUGGAACUGAGACACGGUCCAGACUCCUACGGGAGGCAGCAGUAGGGAAUCUUCCGCAAAGGGCGAAAGCCUGACGGAGCAACGCCGCGUGAGUGAUGAAGGUCUUCGGAUCGUAAAACUCUGUUAUUAGGGAAGAACAAAUGUGUAAGUAACUAUGCACGUCUUGACGGUACCUAAUCAGAAAGCCACGGCUAACUACGUG
This 497-nucleotide ribosomal RNA is filed under the name uncultured bacterium. RNAcentral's name for it is "partial 16S ribosomal RNA". It matches the Rfam family "Bacterial small subunit ribosomal RNA", at positions 28 to 507 of the family's 1533-position model. The record is from RNAcentral.